Molecule: long non-coding RNA, 1476 nt
Organism: Astatotilapia calliptera (eastern happy)
Lineage: Eukaryota; Metazoa; Chordata; Actinopteri; Cichliformes; Cichlidae
Source: Ensembl
CUAAUGAGCCAAGUCUGAGUAAAGUGAGAAACCACUGAUCUACUGGGAUUUUCCCACACAACCAUCUCUAGGGUUUACAGAGAAUGUUCUGAAAAGAGAAAAUAUCCAGUGAGCGGCGCUUCUCCGUGCCAAAAAGCCUUGCUGAUGCCAGAGGUCAGGGGCGAAUGGCCAGAUUGCUUUGAGCUGACAGGAAAGCAAGAGCAAGUUAAAUAACCACUUGUUCCAACUAAGGUAUUCAGAAAAGCAUCUCAGUAUCCACUACAUGUCAAACCUUGAAGCACCUGGGCUACAGCAGCAGGAAAGUAUACAGGGCACCAUUACUGUUAGGUAAGAACAGGAAGCUAAGGCAUUGCUCGGCCUGACGAGUCUCAAGCUCAUUCAGAUGAUAGGGUCAGAAUUCAGCGUAAACAACACGAAAGCAUGGAUCCAUCCUGCCUGGUAUCAAUGGUUCAGGCUGCUGAUGGUGCUGUAAUGGUUUAGGGAAUAUUUUCUUGGCAUGCUUUGGGCCUCUUAGUGCCAACUGAGCAUCAUUUAAACAAAAAAAUAAAAGAUACAUGCUGAAUCUAUCGAAACGCAGGUCAACAUGAUAGCAUCAUCGUACUAUUGUCUGUUUGUUUUCCCAGUUUUAUUUUCACAUGUUGAGAACCUCUGCUUUGGGGUUACUUUGGUGAAAGUGACCAACUUUUAACCACCAAACGGAGUGAAGCCCAGAUGUACAGAGGGGCAGGCAGACUUAAAAAAAAAAAAAAAUUAUAAGUGAGAACAAAUAACAUAAAAAAAAAAUCUGUGUAGCCAAAGUUUGAUAGAACAGUGAACAGUACUUUAUUCCACUUUGCCAUAGAGCACCAUAACAGUCAAACAUGUACUGGUAAAACAUUACUAAUCCACACAGUAACACAAGCAGGCAUGUUAUCCAGUUUUAACGAAUAUGGCAUGGGUACCGUUUACUGUGCACUGAUCCAGUACGUACACUGUACCACUGCUGUACAUUCACCUGCAAUGGAAAAAGAGUCCUCAUUAAAAUUCACUACAUUUAUCUUCUCUUCAAGUGAUUAUUUUACAUCUUACAUCACUCUCACCCCCCACUGGUUGUGGCAGAUGGCUGUACCUGGUUCUGCUUCAGGUUUGCUCUUGUUAAAAGGGAGUUUGUCCUUCCCACUGUCACCAAGUGCUUUCUUGAUUGGUGGGGUUUUCUUGAAUCUUAAACCCCAGGUCUAUAUUUUUGACCAUUUGUAGAAACGUGUCUUCAUUAGAUAAAAAAUGGGCUCGCUUGAUGAGCCCUAAAACGAAAAAAAAAAUUCUUUAGUGUGAAAUAGUUGCAUCAGACCUGCAUGAUGUUUCCUAGCAUGGAGUUUGCAUGUUCUCCUAACGUCCGCUUGAGGCUGUUUUGUAAGCUCCAAAGCCAAUCACAUGCAUAUUAGAUGCACUGGAAACUCUAUGACUAUCUUUCCUUUCCAAUCUAUUUCUGCUCCUCCC